RNAcentral lists this ribosomal RNA (468 nucleotides) under uncultured bacterium. RNAcentral's name for it is "partial 16S ribosomal RNA". It matches the Rfam family "Bacterial small subunit ribosomal RNA", at positions 28 to 507 of the family's 1533-position model. The record is from RNAcentral.
GACGAACGCUGGCGGCGCGCCUAACACAUGCAAGUCGAACGGAGCUGAGAGAAGCUUGCUUUUCUUAGCUUAGUGGCGAACGGGUGAGUAACGCGUGAGUAACCUGCCCUGGAGUGGGGGACAACAGUUGGAAACGACUGCUAAUACCGCAUAAGCCCACGAUCCGGCAUCGGCAUGAGGGAAAAGGAUUUAUUCGCUUCAGGAUGGACUCGCGUCCAAUUAGCUAGUUGGUGAGGUAACGGCCCACCAAGGCGACGAUUGGUAGCCGGACUGAGAGGUUGAACGGCCACAUUGGGACUGAGACACGGCCCAGACUCCUACGGGAGGCAGCAGUGGGGGAUAUCGCACAAUGGGGGAAACCCUGAUGCAGCGACGCCGCGUGGAGGAAGAAGGUUGUCGGAUUGUAAACUCCUGUCGUUAGGGACGAUAAUGACGGUACCUAACAAGAAAGCACCGGCUAACUACGUG